UAUUGAAUAGCAAUUGAAUCAAAUUGAAUAGUAACCGAGUGUCACAUGGUGACUUGUCCCCUAAUGGUAAAUCCAAUCAAUGUCUGUGCCUUCAAUGUCCCCGCCUCAAUCUGUUAAACGCUUAGGUAACCAAGUGUCGGAC
Molecule: long non-coding RNA, 142 nt
Organism: Sapajus apella (tufted capuchin)
Lineage: Eukaryota; Metazoa; Chordata; Mammalia; Primates; Cebidae
Exons: 3
Source: RefSeq, a predicted model, not a curated record